RNAcentral lists this unclassified non-coding RNA (245 nucleotides) under Hevea brasiliensis (rubber tree). The record is from RNAcentral. Lineage: Eukaryota; Viridiplantae; Streptophyta; Magnoliopsida; Malpighiales; Euphorbiaceae.
CUGUGAAAUUCCAACAUUUCUUGAUGGUUUGGGUCGACGGAGAGAGCAGCUCGACAGUCACGUAGGGCACCCAAGACAUCACCAAUGUGCUCAUAGAAUGCAGCCCUCAAGUGUAGAAGGUGAAGGUCUGCUUUGAAUGCAAUUGCCCGUGAUAGUUCUGCAAUGGCUUCCUUCUCCUUGUGGUUGUCCAUCAACACUGCAGCUCGAUAUUUGUAAGGGUACACUCGAAGUGGAUCUAAUUUUGU